GGAGGCAGCAGUGGGGAAUAUUGGACAAUGGGGGGAACCCUGAUCCAGCCAUGCCGCGUGUGUGAAGAAGGCCUUUUGGUUGUAAAGCACUUUAAGCGAGGAGGAGGCUCUUUUAGUUAAUACCUAGGAUGAGUGGACGUUACUCGCAGAAUAAGCACCGGCUAACUCUGUGCCAGCAGCCGCGGUAAUACAGAGGGUGCGAGCGUUAAUCGGAUUUACUGGGCGUAAAGCGUACGUAGGCGGCUUUUUAAGUCGGAUGUGAAAUCCCUGAGCUUAACUUAGGAAUUGCAUUCGAUACUGGGAAGCUAGAGUAUGGGAGAGGAUGGUAGAAUUCCAGGUGUAGCGGUGAAAUGCGUAGAGAUCUGGAGGAAUACCGAUGGCGAAGGCAGCCAUCUGGCCUAAUACUGACGCUGAGGUACGAAAGCAUGGGGAGCAAACAGGAUUAGAUACCCUGGUAGUCCAUGCCGUAAACGAUGUCUACUAGCCGUUGGGGCCUUUGAGGCUUUAGUGGCGCAGCUAACGCGAUAAGUAGACC
Molecule: ribosomal RNA, 535 nt
Filed under: uncultured Gammaproteobacteria bacterium
Lineage: Bacteria; Pseudomonadati; Pseudomonadota; Gammaproteobacteria
Description: bacterial SSU rRNA
Rfam family: Bacterial small subunit ribosomal RNA
Source: RNAcentral